CAGUAGCCACGGUAAUACGAAGGGUGCAAGCGUUAAUCGGAAUUACUGGGCGUAAAGCGUGCGUAGGCGGUUUGUUAAGUCUGCUGUGAAAUCCCCGGGCUCAACCUGGGAAUGGCAGUGGAUACUGGCAAGCUAGAGUGUGUCAGAGGAUGGUGGAAUUCCCGGUGUAGCGGUGAAAUGCGUAGAGAUCGGGAGGAACAUCAGUGGCGAAGGCGGCCAUCUGGGACAACACUGACGCUGAGGCACGAAAGCGUGGGGAGCAAACAGGAUUAGAUACCCCCGUAGUCCCUGUCUCUUAUAC
RNAcentral lists this ribosomal RNA (301 nucleotides) under uncultured bacterium. Its description in RNAcentral is "partial 16S ribosomal RNA". It matches the Rfam family "Bacterial small subunit ribosomal RNA", at positions 509 to 807 of the family's 1533-position model. The record is from RNAcentral.